Molecule: long non-coding RNA, 1785 nt
Organism: Oncorhynchus tshawytscha (Chinook salmon)
Lineage: Eukaryota; Metazoa; Chordata; Actinopteri; Salmoniformes; Salmonidae
Source: Ensembl
CAGGGUUUAUUGUAAAACACACGGUAAUGGGGGGAGCAGGAAAAGGGGCUGAGCUGGACCCAAGGAAAGAAACAAUAAGCAUCCAAAACACCCCUAAGCUAGACUAGCCUAUUUUAACAACAACUAACCAAAAAUACAGUGGGUGGUCCGCCCAGUUCUAACUAGUGUUUUUAACAAAGUCUACCUACGGGUAGUGUAUGCCCAUGGGCGACUUGUCUUGGUUUCCCCUUUUCCCACCAGCAAUCAAACACCAUAACCAAAAACAAUACUCACAGGAGAUGACAAAGUGAUUUGGAGGUGCUCAAACAAAAGAGAGAGUAAGACACAGAGAGGUUGAGACACACAGAGAGGUUGAGACACACAGAGAGGUUGAGACACACAGAGAGGUUGAGACACACAGAGAGGUUGAGACACAAAGAGAGGUUGAGACACAAAGAGAGGUUGAGACACAGAGAGGUUGAGACACAAAGAGAGGUUGAGACACAAAGAGAGGUUAAGACAAAGAGGUUAAGACAAAGAGGUUAAGACACAAAGAGAGGUUAAGACACAAAGAGAGGUUAAGACACAAAGAGAGGUUAAGACACAAAGAGAGGUUAAGACACAAAGAGAGGUUAAGACACAAAGAGAGGUUAAGACACAAAGAGAGGUUAAGACACAAAGAGAGGUUAAGACACAAAGAGAUCUACAUACAUGGCAUUUACAGAGAGAGAUUGAGCUCUAGAGCAAACAAAUGAUGGGGUUUUUAAACCAAGGGAAAGGAACUGUGAUAGGGUAGGAAACAGGAGGAGGUGUGUCUUCUGAUUGAUGAUUGAUUGUUGACUGAUUGGGGAGUGAUGAUGUUCACCUGUGAGGGGAGAAGGAGAGAAAAGAAACACACACAGGAUACUUGUAUCCGUAACAAUUACCUUUAACAGGGAAUUUAUUCUUCCUUUACACAGUAAUUUGGGGGAAAUGGGCUGGAUGGAACCAAAGCAAAGAAAGUAAAAGUUAAAGAGCCCCCUCUCUUAUUUUACCUAUUCUUAAUGCCACCUGGCGUGCUAACCAAAAUACAGGGGGUGGUCCACCCAGGUCUUACCUAGUGUGCUAAGCACUCUUAAGGUGCCUUCCCCUUCCCCCGGGAACAAAAUCAGAAUAAUUACUAAUGUAAAGUGAGUAAUUUCAAUAAUCAAAACCAGUCCUUUUGACAUAAACAUACUUCUGCAGGACCGGCUACAAAACACUUUACAACAAAUUAUACAGACCCACAACAAAACACAGGACACACAAAGAAGCUCUCUCUCCUAACAAAGGAACACUGGCUUUUCAAGCUGCAGAAGGAGUUUGUAAUUGAAAACUGCUGUUUCCCCUGACAAGACGGAGGGUUCAAUCAUCGAGGGGCCGACAAAUAAGCUGCUUAGAAUCCAGAAAGCCAUUUCCUGAAAUACACACAUAUAAACCCAAAACAAUACAGAAACGCGGGAACGUAACACGGUCGACUAGGUUAAAAAAUCUGUCAAUGUGCCCUUGCGCAAGGCACUUAGCCCUAAUUGCUCCUGUAAAUUGCUCUGAAUAAGACUGUCUGCUAAAUUACUAAAGUGUUUAAAAAAAAUACUACUAAUAAUUAAAAAAAUCUCCAGGCUCAUCCCUAAGCUUUUCAUCAAAACACAGGCGGGGUGUCCGCUUUAAUAUAAUAUCAUUAAGGAUUCUACUCAUUCAUUUCUGAAGAAAAACACAAAUGUGAAAAAUGUAUGGAUAGGCUAUUCCGUUUAGCCACACAACUAUCUUUAUAUCUUUAUUUUACCCUUA